GCACUGGUGUUCCAGCGGCGAGGAUACCGCCCUCGUAAGGCGGUGGCGUGGGUUCGAGUCCCACCCGGUGCC
This 72-nucleotide transfer RNA is filed under the name Tautonia sociabilis. It matches the Rfam family "tRNA". Rfam says of the family: Transfer RNA (tRNA) molecules are approximately 80 nucleotides in length. The record is from Rfam by way of RNAcentral. Lineage: Bacteria; Pseudomonadati; Planctomycetota; Planctomycetia; Isosphaerales; Isosphaeraceae.